RNAcentral lists this unclassified non-coding RNA (1051 nucleotides) under leaf metagenome. RNAcentral describes it as "partial contains internal transcribed spacer 1, 5.8S ribosomal RNA, internal transcribed spacer 2, and large subunit ribosomal RNA". The stretch from base 472 to 1051 matches the Rfam family "Eukaryotic large subunit ribosomal RNA", at positions 1 to 591 of the family's 3401-position model. The record is from RNAcentral.
GAUCAUUAUAGAGUUUUCUAAACUCCCAACCCAUGUGAACUUACCUUUUGUUGCCUCGGCAGAAGUUAUAGGUCUUCUUAUAGCUGCUGCCGGUGGACCAUUAAACUCUUGUUAUUUUAUGUAAUCUGAGCGUCUUAUUUUAAUAAGUCAAAACUUUCAACAACGGAUCUCUUGGUUCUGGCAUCGAUGAAGAACGCAGCGAAAUGCGAUAAGUAAUGUGAAUUGCAGAAUUCAGUGAAUCAUCGAAUCUUUGAACGCACAUUGCGCCCAUUAGUAUUCUAGUGGGCAUGCCUGUUCGAGCGUCAUUUCAACCCUUAAGCCUAGCUUAGUGUUGGGAAUCUACUUCUCUUAGGAGUUGUAGUUCCUGAAAUACAACGGCGGAUUUGUAGUAUCCUCUGAGCGUAGUAAUUUUUUUCUCGCUUUUGUUAGGUGCUAUAACUCCCAGCCGCUAAACCCCCAAUUUUUUGUGGUUGACCUCGGAUCAGGUAGGAAUACCCGCUGAACUUAAGCAUAUCAAUAAGCGGAGGAAAAGAAACCAACAGGGAUUGCCUUAGUAACGGCGAGUGAAGCGGCAACAGCUCAAAUUUGAAAUCUGGCCCUUGGGUCCGAAUUGUAAUUUGUAGAGGAUGAUUUUGGUGCGGUAUCUUCCGAGUUCCUUGGAACAGGACGCCUUAGAGGGUGAGAGCCCCGUACGGUUGAAUGCCUAGCCUCUGUAAAUCUCCUUCGACGAGUCGAGUAGUUUGGGAAUGCUGCUCUAAAUGGGAGGUAAAUUUCUUCUAAAGCUAAAUAUUGGCCAGAGACCGAUAGCGCACAAGUAGAGUGAUCGAAAGAUGAAAAGCACUUUGAAAAGAGGGUUAAAUAGCACGUGAAAUUGUUGAAAGGGAAGGAUUUGUGACCAGACUUUUUCUGGGCGGAUCAUCCGGGGUUCUCUCCGGUGCACUUCGCCCAGUAAAGGCCAGCAUCGGUUUUCGGCGUGGGAUAAAAGCAGUAGGAAUGUGGCUCUCUACGGGGAGUGUUAUAGCCUAUUGUAUAAUACCGCGCUGGGGACCGA